Molecule: long non-coding RNA, 1223 nt
Organism: Brassica napus (rape)
Lineage: Eukaryota; Viridiplantae; Streptophyta; Magnoliopsida; Brassicales; Brassicaceae
Exons: 2
Source: RefSeq, a predicted model, not a curated record
CUUGGAAUCUCCAAAACUUCUUUAAGAUCUAAGACCAUCUCCAAUGGAGUAUCUAAGAGGUAUCUAUGUCAUGGUUCUAUCUCAUUAUAUGCUGAAAAUUAAAUAAAAAAGAGUAAAAAUAGAUAGAUGUGGUUCUAAAAAUGGAACUUUUGGAACCAUAUCUAAGUUGCAACGUGUCAAUUUCUCAUUUGUUAGUGUUUUUAAAAUAAAAAAAACCCACAAGGCCACAACGCUUCCUCAUUCCAAUCCUUCGCUUCGUUUCAAUUCGGAACCCUAAUUGGUGAAUUACCAAGGAUGGAGUUUGAUGGAGAAGACGGUAGAGGAAGGAGAUGGAUUGAACAGGAAGAAGGAAGAGAGCGGUAACGAGAAGAGCGACGGUGGAGAACGGUGGAGGCAAGAGAAGGGAUCGGGAGAACUCACGACUUCCACCGGCAAAACUAUAUGAGCUCCGGCUACUUUGAUUCUUGCUCCGACGGCUCGUCCGGUCUUCCAUUCAGGCUCAUGCCAGCACCAGAGGACUGAGGACCAUCACCACCAAACUCGAUGAACAAAAUCCACGGACAAUUGAAGCUCCGACAGUGGAGAUUAAAAACUUUCGUCCUUUGUUCCAGCCAUCUUUGAUCUGCUUGCAUGUACAGAGAGUUAUGUAUUUCGAUUGAUAUAUGUUGUUUCUUGUUUAAACUUUGGCUUCUGUUUUUUUUGAUUAAAAAUGGUUUCUUGGGUUUUGUUUUUGUAUAUUCUCAUCUCUUGGAGACUUGUUUAUAUGUUUUCCUCAUACCUUUUAAAGAUUGUUUUUUUCUUUCAAAGGUUUAUUUUAAGGAUUUUUCUCAAUUACUGUUCUGAUGUUUGUGUGUCUGAUUUAUCUCACCAAUAUUUGCAGGUGAACUUUUCGUAUCAUGAAGCCAGAGAACAGAACCUAACUAACAAAGAUGGUCUCGUCCAUUACUAAUCUUGAAAGAGAUCCCAAACAGGGGAUAAUGAACAACUGAUGGUGUAUACUCAAGAAGAAUCUAGUUAAGCUAAUGGAGAAAGGAUGUAAUUGAUAUGGGAAUUGUAUUCAUGUUACUUUAGCUUUGUUUUGUGUUCAGUUGUCUUUUGAAUUGUAAUUUUGUUUAUGAUUUCUCAAUCUAUGUUAUAUGUUUUUAUGUCAAGUUAAUUUAAAUUUUAUGUAAUUUAUGUUAAAUUAAUUUAAAUUUUAUGUAAUUCAAUAAUUAUUUUUUUAA